GGUCGUUUAGCUCAGUGGCAGAGCAUCUGUCUCACAUCUAUUGUCAGAGGACAUGCACGGACACAGAGGGUCGCAGGUUCGAACCCUGCAGCGAUCA
Transfer RNA from Coniochaeta ligniaria NRRL 30616, 97 nucleotides. It matches the Rfam family "tRNA". From Rfam's summary of the family: Transfer RNA (tRNA) molecules are approximately 80 nucleotides in length. Their secondary structure includes four short double-helical elements and three loops (D, anti-codon, and T loops). Lineage: Eukaryota; Fungi; Ascomycota; Sordariomycetes; Coniochaetales; Coniochaetaceae. The record is from Rfam.